GUAGAUCUCCUACACACUUGCCUC
Molecule: non-coding RNA, 24 nt
Filed under: Arabidopsis thaliana (thale cress)
Lineage: Eukaryota; Viridiplantae; Streptophyta; Magnoliopsida; Brassicales; Brassicaceae
Source: RNAcentral